RNAcentral lists this ribosomal RNA (468 nucleotides) under uncultured bacterium. RNAcentral's name for it is "partial 16S ribosomal RNA". It matches the Rfam family "Bacterial small subunit ribosomal RNA", at positions 28 to 507 of the family's 1533-position model. The record is from RNAcentral.
GACGAACGCUGGCGGCGUGCUUAACACAUGCAAGUCGAACGGAAAGGCCCUGCUUUUGUGGGGUGCUCGAGGGGCGAACGGGUGAGUAACACGUGAGUAACCUGCCCUUGACUUUGGGAUAACUUCAGGAAACUGGGGCUAAUACCGGAUAGGAUCUCCUGCUCCAUGGUGGGGGUGGGAAAUUUUCGGCGGUUGGGGUUGGACUCGCGGCUUAUCAGCUUGUUGGUGGGGUAGUGGCUUACCAAGGGUUUGACGGGUACCCGGCCUGUGUGGGUGAACGGCCACAUUGGGACUGAGAUACGGCCCAGACUCCUACGGGAGGCAACAGUGGGGAAUAUUGCACAACGGGCGGAAGCCUGAUGCAGCAACGCCGCGUGCGGGAUGACGGCCUUCGGGUUGUAAACCGCUUUAGCCUGUGACGCAGCGUGAGUGACGGUAAUGGGUAAAGAAGCACCGGCUAACUACGUG